RNAcentral lists this ribosomal RNA (486 nucleotides) under uncultured bacterium. Its description in RNAcentral is "partial 16S ribosomal RNA". It matches the Rfam family "Bacterial small subunit ribosomal RNA", at positions 30 to 507 of the family's 1533-position model. The record is from RNAcentral.
AUUGAACGCUGGCGGCAUGCCUUACACAUGCAAGUCGAACGGCAGCACGGGUGCUUGCACCUGUUGGCGAGUGGCGAACGGGUGAGUAAUACAUCGGAAAUUGUCCUGUAGUGGGGGAAAGCCCGGCGGAAGCCGGAUCAAUACCGCAAACGAUCUACGGAUGAAAGCGGGGGACCUACGGGCUUUCGGCGAGAGGUGUGGCCGCUACCUGAUUAGCUGUUGGGGGGGGAAAAGGCCUACCAAGGGGACGAGCAGUAGCUGGUCUGGGAGGACGACCAGCCACCUUGGGACUGGUACACGGCCCUGGCUCCUGCGGGAGGCAGCAGUGUGGAAUUUUAGACAAUAGGCGAGAGCCUUGUCCAGCAAUGCCGCGUGUGUGAAGGAGGCCUGCGGGUUGUAAAGCACUUUUGUCCGUAGAGAACUCCUUGGCUCUAAUACAGUCGGGGAAUGACGGUACCGGAAGAAUAAGCACCGGCUAACUACGUG